CCGCCAGACUCCUACGGGAGGCAGCAGUGAGGAAUAUUGGUCAAUGGGCGAGAGCCUGAACCAGCCAAGUCGCGUGAAGGAUGACGGCCCUACGGGUUGUAAACUUCUUUUGUCAGGGAGCAAUUGGGUCCACGCGUGGGCUUAGCGAGAGUACCUGAAGAAAAAGCAUCGGCUAACUCCGUGCCAGCAGCCGCGGUAAUACGUAGGGGGCAAGCGUUAUCCGGAUUUACUGGGUGUAAAGGGAGCGUAGACGGCGUGCCAAGUCUGGUGUGAAAGGCCGGGGCUCAACCCCGGGACUGCAUUGGAAACUGGCAUGCUGGAGUGCCGGAGGGGCAAGCGGAAUUCCUAGUGUAGCGGUGAAAUGCGUAGAUAUUAGGAGGAACACCGGUGGCGAAGGCGGCUUGCUGGACGGUAACUGACGUUGAGGCUCGAAAGCGUGGGGAGCAAACAGGAUUAGAUACCCCUGUAA
This 469-nucleotide ribosomal RNA is filed under the name uncultured bacterium. Its description in RNAcentral is "bacterial SSU rRNA". It matches the Rfam family "Bacterial small subunit ribosomal RNA", at positions 328 to 793 of the family's 1533-position model. The record is from RNAcentral.